GACGAACGCUGGCGGCGUGCUUAACACAUGCAAGUCGAACGGUGAAGCGCCUUCCUUUUUGGUGGGUGUGGAUGAGUGGCGAACGGGUGAGUAACACGUGAGUAACCUGCCUCCUUCUUCUGGAUAACCGCAUGAAAGUGUGGCUAAUACGGGAUAUUCUGGGUCUGUCGCAUGAUGGGUCUGGGAAAGAUAUUGUUUCGGUGGGGGAUGGGCUCGCGGCCUAUCAGCUUGUUGGUGGGGUGAUGGCCUACCAAGGCGGUGACGGGUAGCCGGCCUGAGAGGGUGGACGGUCACACUGGGACUGAGACACGGCCCAGACUCCUACGGGAGGCAGCAGUGGGGAAUAUUGCACAAUGGGCGCAAGCCUGAUGCAGCGACGCCGCGUGAGGGAUGGAGGCCUUCGGGUUGUGAACCUCUUUCGCCAGUGAAGCAGGCCUGCCUCGUUUGUGGGUGGGUUGACGGUAGCUGGAUAAGAAGCGCCGGCUAACUACGUG
This 494-nucleotide ribosomal RNA is filed under the name uncultured bacterium. RNAcentral describes it as "partial 16S ribosomal RNA". It matches the Rfam family "Bacterial small subunit ribosomal RNA", at positions 28 to 507 of the family's 1533-position model. The record is from RNAcentral.